GUGAUAAAGAAGCUCUGUAGUGGAAGCACACACUGAUUCUGGACUUCUGCACUAUGGUUUUAUUUUGUCAGGAUGACCUCAAACCAGUAACCAUUACACAGUAAACGUUCAUUGCCCUGUCACUGAGAUCUACUCCCUAGUCAAUAGCCAGCUUGCCCGGUUUGUGUGAUACAGACAAAUAGCCCAGACAGCAUUUUAUACCUUAGAGUCGUCCUCCCCCUCCCCGACAGGCAAGCGACACAUUGAACCUGCCUUCAUAAGGAAGUGUCUUAUCUUGCUCUGUUUUUAUCAGUCAUAUGCUUUCAGAUGUGCCAGACAGGGGAAAAUGCACUGAAAUCAGCACGCAGGCUCCUGUUACAGCUGCGGCAAAAACUGAAUUGGUGAAUGCAACAUAUAGAAAGUCCCAAUGAUGUGACUUCUGAUGUUUUACAACCCAUGCUUUAGACUUGAGAGGCAUAAUCAUGUACAAAGCACUAUGGAGAUGCUUCACAUUAAGAAAAGCAUUCCCACACUGAAUGGCAGCUGCUGACAUUAAGGAGCAGGAGCUCUGCAGACUGUCAGUGUUAUACUGGGAUUGAGAUACGGUACUGGGCUAUGAUGUCACAGCAAAGUGACACACUCCCAAUCUAAGAAAUGAGACUUCUUCUCCCACCUGCUAAGAAAAAGAAGAAUUGCACAACAUGAAACACAUUUGGUUCUACAAUUUAACAUGGGGGAUUUUUAACAUAAGGCUCAUGCUGGAAAUAAUAAAAUGCAAAAUAAGAAAGUUUAAUAUGUUAUUUAAACUGCUGUUGGUUUCA
Molecule: long non-coding RNA, 800 nt
Organism: Pseudophryne corroboree (corroboree frog)
Lineage: Eukaryota; Metazoa; Chordata; Amphibia; Anura; Myobatrachidae
Exons: 4
Source: RefSeq, a predicted model, not a curated record